Molecule: long non-coding RNA, 216 nt
Filed under: Prunus persica (peach)
Lineage: Eukaryota; Viridiplantae; Streptophyta; Magnoliopsida; Rosales; Rosaceae
Description: long non-coding RNA (PPER_LNC007647)
Source: RNAcentral
GAGAAAGAAGUGAUACAGUAGUGAUAAAGGAUUGAUACAAAAUGCUGAUUGUAUUUACCUUUAAUUUCUUGUUUUGUAUUUAAACAAUAAAAUAAGUAUAAAUAUCGGAUCAUUAUGGGUUUUCGUCGGGUUAGGAAUUUUGUUUCCGUUAACCAAACCAAACAUUUCAGUACGGAUCGGAUCGGAAUAAUUAAAAUUAAAAAAUAAUUAUUUAAC